AGCAGCCGCGGUAUUCCAGCUCCAAUAGCGUAUAUUAAAGUUGCUGCAGUUAAAAAGCUCGUAGUUGAAUUUCGGGAUCAUCAUGUCGGUCGUGCCUCGGUACGUACUGGCAUCGUUGAUUUCUCCCUUCUGACGAACCAUGAUGUCAUUUAUUUGGUGUUGUGGGGAAUCAGGACUGUUACUUUGAAAAAAUUAGAGUGUUUAAAGCAGGCUCACGCUUGAAUACAUUAGCAUGGAAUAAUGAAAUAGGACGUUUGAUUCUAUUUUGUUGGUUUCUAGGAUCGACGUAAUGAUUAAUAGGGAUAGUUGGGGGCAUUAGUAUUCAAUUGUCAGAGGUGAAAUUCUUGGAUUUAUUGAAGACUAACUACUGCGAAAGCAUUUGCCAAGGAUGUUUUCAUUAAUCAAGAACGAAAGUUAGGGGAUCGAAGACGAUCAGAUACCGUCGUAGUCUUAACCAUAAACUAUGCCGACUAGGGAUCGGAUGAUGUUAUUUUUAAAUGACUCA
This 505-nucleotide ribosomal RNA is filed under the name Glomus sp. Glo17. Its description in RNAcentral is "SSU rRNA". It matches the Rfam family "Eukaryotic small subunit ribosomal RNA", at positions 569 to 1078 of the family's 1831-position model. The record is from RNAcentral. Lineage: Eukaryota; Fungi; Glomeromycota; Glomeromycetes; Glomerales; Glomeraceae.